RNAcentral lists this ribosomal RNA (407 nucleotides) under uncultured bacterium. Its description in RNAcentral is "partial 16S ribosomal RNA". It matches the Rfam family "Bacterial small subunit ribosomal RNA", at positions 28 to 526 of the family's 1533-position model. The record is from RNAcentral.
GACGAACGCUGGCGGCGUGCCUAAUACAUGCAAGUAGGACGCAGUUGCGAACGGGUGAGUAACGCGUAGGUAACUACCUAUUAGAGGGGGAUAAAUAUUGGAAAAGAUAGCUAAUACCGCAUACUAGUAGAUGGACCUGCGUUGUAUUAGCUAGUAGGUAGGGUAAUGGCCUACCUAGGCAAUGAUGCAUAGACGACCUGCGAGGGUAAUCGGCCACAUUGGUACUGAGACACGGCCCAACCUCCUACGGGAGGCAGCAGUAGGGAAUCUUCCGCAAUGGGCGCAAGCCUGACGGAGCAACGCCGCGUGAGUGAAGAAGGUUUUCGGAUCGUAAAGCUCUGUUGUAAGAGAAGCGGUAUCUUACCAGAAAGCCCCGGCUAACUACGUGCCAGCAGCCGCGGUAAUAC